Molecule: long non-coding RNA, 1934 nt
Filed under: Homo sapiens (human)
Lineage: Eukaryota; Metazoa; Chordata; Mammalia; Primates; Hominidae
Description: HSALNT0355641
Source: RNAcentral
GAGAACAAAGGAAGGAGGAAGUAACUGGUGGAAUGCUGAGAAAGCAUUUCAGUGUGCGGCAUCAUCAUGCAAGCUCUGUAAGAGGAGAGUAAGAUCAGUACUCCUACUUGUAAAUGAAAGAGAAGAAAACAAAAACAAGCAAAUUCCUUCUAAGGUGUGAGGAACACGAGUAAACAGAGAAAUCACCUAAGGAGAAAACAGGAAGCAGAUUUGAAACUGUGGCCACCAACGACACGAGGGAGCGCAAAACCCAGCCCACUUGCCAGGGAGGCUGGCAGAGCCCACACCCAGUCUGGUGCCCUGGUCGGUUACAUUCUGCUGUAAGUUAUUCCUGCCUUUAGCUCAUUCUAUCACAAAGCCCAAGCUCUCAAUGCCCGCAAAAUGAGCCAGCAACAGGAUUAUUCUCAUAGAAAAUGGACCAUUGACGGCUCAGUCGUUAAAGCCAAUUCAGACGAAUCAUGUCUUCUUCCAAGUGCACAACUAUCCCUAAUGUGUAACUAAUACAUAUUUGUGAAAUAACUUAUUACUGAAAAUUAGGUUUUAGUAAUUUGUAGUUAUCAAAAUAAAUUCAGUUUGAACAAAUGGAAUAUCAGACCAUAAAAAUUCAUAGGAUGUAAGAAAGAAAAUAGUAAGAAAGGCAGAUUUCUCAUAAAUAUUAUAAGUUUCAUGAUGGUUCUAUGCUUAUAGUUCUGAAAAUAUGUAAGCAAACAUCUUAAAGAUCAAUGAGAAAAAUGCCCUUUUGGAUAUAUUAGAGAACAAUUCAAGGAGAAAAAAAAUCACCAAUUCAAUGGUGAAUUUGAAUGGUGAAUAUUAUCACCAUUCAAAAAAACAGGGUAUCAUUAAUAUACAACCACAAUCCUAUUAAUAUCUACUAAUUGUGGGAAAACAUGAUUGGAAAUGGAAACAAAAAAUGCAAUAUGAGAUUGGUGGGAAAUUUAUGUUUUACCAUAGGAAAAAAUGUGAACGCAAAUUACGUUGUUCUUUCGGGAUGUACACUUCUCCCGCCUACGACCGAAUAGUGAAUAAGGUUCACAGGGAUUAUGUGAAUCCUGGGCAGGUCCUGAGCUACUCAGCAUUGAACAGCAUUCGAGGCCACUGCAGUGGAGCCACUCUCAUCAGUAACAGGUGUAUUCUCCCCUGGUUUUCAUCCUAAUACCAAGCAAGUGGGAUCUUGUAAGCAUGUGGUUUUUCUGCCCUUUCCUGGCAGUUGUCAGAUUUGUACUUACGUAGCAGCCAGGAGUACAUUAUUGUUUCCAAGGAAAGGAAAUGGCACAUCUCUUUGACAUUGCAAGAUCUGACCCACUGCUUUAAUUAGCAUUUUUACAGAAAAUAAUCUGAAAUGACAGGCAGUCUUUCCUACUUCCUUUCUGCAUUUCAGUUUUGAAGCAGCGUUCAAAAUCAGUUGUGGAUCAAGUCAAGAUGAACUCUGAAACAAUACUUUAAAUACCCCUGGAUGAUUUUGAAGCUCCCUGCAGCAUUUUUAGAAGGUACCAAAUAAGAAAAACGUGGAUGAAGAUGGAGAAAGCAUACAAAACUUUUACACACUGGUUUGAAGCUCACAAUUGGGUUUUCGCCAGGGCAAGCCGUUGUACAUUCCUUGAAGUCAGGUGCUCUGCUCAACAGAAGGUGUGCUGAAUAACGUUACAGGCUCUGUUCCCGGGAGACGUGGAAGGAAAAGUGAAAACACAAAACAACAGUAUUUAGAAGUGAAGAGUUAUUGACCAAAAUGCUCAUGGGGGAAAAAAACCAGAAAUGUUAACAAUGCAAGGACUUAGAGAAGCUGAAAAUAUUGCUUUUCUUCCUGAUGGCUUAUGUUUGAGGAACUGCCUCUUCUGGGAAGCCUUCCCUGGUUGCCUCAUUUAAGAGCAAACUUCUCCCUCCUCACCAUCACUAUUUCUCUUGCUCUGUUUAAUUUCCUCCCUCAUCCUCAUCAC